GACGGAGGAUGCGAGUGUUAUCCGGAAUCACUGGGCGUAAAGCGUCUGUAGGUGGUUUAAAAAGUCUACUGUUAAAGCUUGAAGCUUAACUUCAAAAAUGCCGUAGAAACUUUUAAACUUGAGUGUGGUAGGGGUAGAGGGAAUUUCCAGUGGAGCGGUGAAAUGCGUAGAUCUUGGAAAGACCACCAAUGGCGAAGGCACUCUACUGGGCCAUUACUGACACUAAGAGACGAAAGCUAGGGGAGCAAAUGGG
RNAcentral lists this ribosomal RNA (253 nucleotides) under uncultured cyanobacterium. RNAcentral describes it as "partial 16S ribosomal RNA". It matches the Rfam family "Bacterial small subunit ribosomal RNA", at positions 524 to 776 of the family's 1533-position model. Lineage: Bacteria; Bacillati; Cyanobacteriota. The record is from RNAcentral.